UACGUAGGGGGCAAGCGUUGUCCGGAUUUAUUGGGCGUAAAGAGCGUGUAGGCGGCCAGGUAGGUCAGCUGUGAAAACUCGAGGCUCAACCUCGAGACGUCGGUUGAAACCACCUGGCUAGAGUCCGGAAGGGGAGAGUGGAAUUCCUGGUGUAGCGGUGAAAUGCGCAGAUAUCAGGAAGAACACCCGUGGCGAAGGCGGCUCUCUGGGACGGUACUGACGCUGAGACGCGAAAGCGUGGGGAGCGAACAGG
RNAcentral lists this ribosomal RNA (253 nucleotides) under uncultured bacterium. RNAcentral's name for it is "partial 16S ribosomal RNA". It matches the Rfam family "Bacterial small subunit ribosomal RNA", at positions 524 to 776 of the family's 1533-position model. The record is from RNAcentral.